UACAGAGGGGGCAAGCGUUAUUCGGAAUUACUGGGCGUAAAGGGCUCGUAGGUGGCCAACUAAGUCAGACGUGAAAUCCCUCGGCUUAACCGGGGAACUGCGUCUGAUACUGGAUGGCUUGAGUUCGGGAGAGGGAUGCGGAAUUCCAGGUGUAGCGGUGAAAUGCGUAGAUAUCUGGAGGAACACCGGUGGCGAAGGCGGCAUCCUGGGUCGGUAUUGACGCUGAGGAGCGAAAGCCAGGGGAGCAAACGGG
This 253-nucleotide ribosomal RNA is filed under the name uncultured bacterium. RNAcentral's name for it is "partial 16S ribosomal RNA". It matches the Rfam family "Bacterial small subunit ribosomal RNA", at positions 524 to 776 of the family's 1533-position model. The record is from RNAcentral.